GGGUGAGUAACACGUGGGCAAUCUGCCCUUCACUCUGGGACAAGCCCUGGAAACGGGGUCUAAUACCGGAUACCACUUCCACUCGCAUGGGUGGGGGUUGAAAGCUCCGGCGGUGAAGGAUGAGCCCGCGGCCUAUCAGCUUGUUGGUGAGGUAACGGCUCACCAAGGCGACGACGGGUAGCCGGCCUGAGAGGGCGACCGGCCACACUGGGACUGAGACACGGCCCAGACUCCUACGGGAGGCAGCAGUGGGGAAUAUUGCACAAUGGGCGAAAGCCUGAUGCAGCGACGCCGCGUGAGGGAUGACGGCCUUCGGGUUGUAAACCUCUUUCAGCAGGGAAGAAGCGAAAGUGACGGUACCUGCAGAAGAAGCGCCGGCUAACUACGUGCCAGCAGCCGCGGUAAUACGUAGGGCGCAAGCGUUGUCCGGAAUUAUUGGGCGUAAAGAGCUCGUAGGCGGCUUGUCACGUCGGGUGUGAAAGCCCGGGGCUUAACCCCGG
RNAcentral lists this ribosomal RNA (500 nucleotides) under Streptomyces sp. CM-1. RNAcentral describes it as "bacterial SSU rRNA". It matches the Rfam family "Bacterial small subunit ribosomal RNA", at positions 104 to 618 of the family's 1533-position model. Lineage: Bacteria; Bacillati; Actinomycetota; Actinomycetes; Kitasatosporales; Streptomycetaceae. The record is from RNAcentral.